UACGUAGGGUGCAAGCGUUGUCCGGAAUUAUUGGGCGUAAAGAGCUCGUAGGCGGUCUGUCGCGUCGGCUGUGAAAACCCGGGGCUCAACCCCGGGCCUGCAGUCGAUACGGGCAGACUAGAGUGCGGUAGGGGAGACUGGAAUUCCUGGUGUAGCAGUGAAAUGCGCAGAUAUCAGGAGGAACACCGAUGGCGAAGGCAGGUCGCUGGGCUGGUAACUGACGCUGAGGAGCGAAAGCAUGGGGAGCGAACAGG
This 254-nucleotide ribosomal RNA is filed under the name uncultured bacterium. RNAcentral's name for it is "partial 16S ribosomal RNA". It matches the Rfam family "Bacterial small subunit ribosomal RNA", at positions 524 to 776 of the family's 1533-position model. The record is from RNAcentral.